GAUGAACGCUGGCGGCGUGCUUAACACAUGCAAGUCGAACGGAAAGGCUCCUGCUUGCAGGGGUACUCGAGUGGCGAACGGGUGAGUAACACGUGGGUGAUCUGCCCAGCACUUCGGGAUAAGCCUGGGAAACUGGGUCUAAUACCGGAUAGGACGAUGGUUUGGAUGCCAUUGUGGAAAGUUUUUUCGGUGUGGGAUGAGCUCGCGGCCUAUCAGCUUGUUGGUGGGGUAAUGGCCUACCAAGGCGUCGACGGGUAGCCGGCCUGAGAGGGUGUACGGCCACAUUGGGACUGAGAUACGGCCCAGACUCCUACGGGAGGCAGCAGUGGGGAAUAUUGCACAAUGGGCGCAAGCCUGAUGCAGCGACGCCGCGUGGGGGAUGACGGCCUUCGGGUUGUAAACUUCUUUCGCUAGGGACGAAGCGCAAGUGACGGUACCUGGAGAAGAAGCACCGGCUAACUACGUG
This 466-nucleotide ribosomal RNA is filed under the name uncultured bacterium. RNAcentral describes it as "partial 16S ribosomal RNA". It matches the Rfam family "Bacterial small subunit ribosomal RNA", at positions 28 to 507 of the family's 1533-position model. The record is from RNAcentral.